ACGGGUGCGUAACGCGUGGGAAUCUGCCCCUUGGUUCGGAAUAACAGUUGGAAACGACUGCUAAUACCGGAUGAUGACGUAAGUCCAAAGAUUUAUCGCCGAGGGUUGAGCCCGCGUAGGAUUAGGUAGUUGGUGUGGUAAAGGCGCACCAAGCCGACGAUCCUUAGCUGGUCUGAGAGGAUGAUCAGCCACACUGGGACUGAGACACGGCCCAGACUCCUACGGGAGGCAGCAGUGGGGAAUAUUGGACAAUGGGCGAAAGCCUGAUCCAGCAAUGCCGCGUGAGUGAUGAAGGCCUUAGGGUUGUAAAGCUCUUUUACCCGGGAUGAUAAUGACAGUACCGGGAGAAUAAGCUCCGGCUAACUCCGUGCCAGCAGCCGCGGUAAUACGGAGGGAGCUAGCGUUAUUCGGAAUUACUGGGCGUAAAGCGCACGUAGGCGGCUUUGUAAGUAAGAGGUGAAAGCCCAGAGCUCAACUCUGGAAUUGCCUUUUAGACUGCAUCGCUUGAAUCAUGGAGAGGUCAGUGGAAUUCCGAGUGUAGAGGUGAAAUUCGUAGA
Molecule: ribosomal RNA, 557 nt
Filed under: Sphingomonas sp. SDB-066
Lineage: Bacteria; Pseudomonadati; Pseudomonadota; Alphaproteobacteria; Sphingomonadales; Sphingomonadaceae
Description: bacterial SSU rRNA
Rfam family: Bacterial small subunit ribosomal RNA
Source: RNAcentral